GGGAAAGCUAGACCUGCAGAGUGAAGAAAGCUGGUAAUAGAUGUCUGACAAACUAAAGAAAGACUUGUGUUACUGUCUGCACACUGGAAAUUCUUCCUGGUUGUGAGACAAGACCUCAGACUUAUCUGAGCUAAGGGGAAGAAAGACUGCAACAGUGUUGGGCCUGUGGGUACACAGAAGUCAAGAAUUGAAGAUUGGAAACCUCCACCUAGAUUUCAGAGGACAUAUGGAAAUGCCUGGAUAUCUAGGCAGAAGUCUGCUACAGGGGCAGAGCCCUCAUGGAGAACCUCUACUAGGGCAGUGUGGAAAGAAAAGGUGGGGUUGGAGACUCCACACAGAGUCCCCACUGGCACACUGCCUAGUGGAGCUGUGAGAACAGGGCCACCAUUCUCCAGACCUCAGAAUGGUAGAUCAAAUGACAACUUGCACCAUGCACCAGGAAAAGCCACAAGCUCUCAAUAUCAGCCUGUGAAGGAGCUGCCUAAGGCCAUGGGAACCCACCUCUCCCAUCAGCAUGCCCCCGAUAUGAGACAUGGCGCCAAAGGAGAUUAUUUCAGAGAUUUAAGAUUUAAUGACUGCCCCACUGGAUUUUGGACUUGUGCAGGGCCUAUAGCCCCUUUGUUUUGGCCAAUUUCUCUCAUUUGGAAUGGGAGCAUUUACCCAAUGCCUGUAUCCCCAUUGUAUCUAGGAAGGAACUAACUUGUUUUUGAUUUUACAGGCUUAUAGGCAGAAGGGACUUGCCUUUUCUCAGAUGAGACUUU
This 761-nucleotide long non-coding RNA is filed under the name Homo sapiens (human). Its description in RNAcentral is "non-protein coding lnc-CAPS2-4:2". Lineage: Eukaryota; Metazoa; Chordata; Mammalia; Primates; Hominidae. The record is from RNAcentral.